UACGUAGGUGACAAGCGUUGUCCGGAAUUACUGGGCGUAAAGGGUGCGUAGGCGGUUCGUUAAGUCUGUUGUGAAAUCCCCGGGCUCAACCUGGGAAUGGCAAUGGAUACUGGCGGGCUAGAGUGUGUCAGAGGAUGGUGGAAUUCCCGGUGUAGCGGUGAAAUGCGUAGAGAUCGGGAGGAACAUCAGUGGCGAAGGCGGCCAUCUGGGACAACACUGACGCUGAAGCACGAAAGCGUGGGGAGCAAACAGG
This 253-nucleotide ribosomal RNA is filed under the name uncultured bacterium. RNAcentral describes it as "partial 16S ribosomal RNA". It matches the Rfam family "Bacterial small subunit ribosomal RNA", at positions 524 to 776 of the family's 1533-position model. The record is from RNAcentral.